RNAcentral lists this ribosomal RNA (497 nucleotides) under uncultured bacterium. Its description in RNAcentral is "partial 16S ribosomal RNA". It matches the Rfam family "Bacterial small subunit ribosomal RNA", at positions 28 to 507 of the family's 1533-position model. The record is from RNAcentral.
GAUGAACGCUGGCGGCGUGCCUAAUACAUGCCAGUCGAGCGAACAGAUGAGGAGCUUGCUCCUCUGACGUUAGCGGCGGACGGGUGAGUAACACGUGGAUAACCUACCUAUAAGACUGGGAUAACUUCGGGAAACCGGAGCUAAUACCGGAUAAUAUAUUGAACCGCAUGGUUCAAUAGUGAAAGACGGUUUUGCUGUCACUUAUAGAUGGAUCCGCGCCGCAUUAGCUAGUUGGUAAGGUAACGGCUUACCAAGGCAACGAUGCGUAGCCGACCUGAGAGGGUGAUCGGCCACACUGGAACUGAGACACGGUCCAGACUCCUACGGGAGGCAGCAGUAGGGAAUCUUCCGCAAUGGGCGAAAGCCUGACAGAGCAACGCCGCGUGAGUGAUGAAGGUCUUCGGAUCGUAAAACUCUGUUAUUAGGGAAGAACAAAUGUGUAAGUAACUAUGCACGUCUUGACGGUACCUAAUCAGAAAGCCACGGCUAACUACGUG